RNAcentral lists this long non-coding RNA (1221 nucleotides) under Numida meleagris (helmeted guineafowl). Its description in RNAcentral is "lncRNA (ENSNMEG00000003924.1)". The record is from RNAcentral. Lineage: Eukaryota; Metazoa; Chordata; Aves; Galliformes; Numididae.
CCCAGCACCAUGCAAGGCAGCCACACUCAGCACCGUGCAAUGCAACCACACUCAGCACCGUGCAAUGCAACCACACUCUGCAUUGCACCCACCCAGCACUGUGCAAUGCAACCACACAGAGCCCAGCACCCACCCAGCACCGUGCAAUGCACCCACACACUGCACAGCACCCAUCCACACCAUGCAAUGCAACCACACUCAGCACCGUGCAAUGCAACCACACUCUGCAUUGCACCCACCCAGCACUGUGCCAUGCAACCACACACUGCAGAGCAUCCACCCAGCACCAUGCAAUGGAACCACACACUGCAUUGCACCCACCCAGCACCGUGCAAUGCAACCACACACUGAAUUGCAGCCACGCACCACUGUGCAAUGCAACCACAUUCUGCAGAGCUCCCACCCUCUGCAAUGAAGCCGCACUCAGCACCGUGCAAUGCAACCACACUCUGCAUUGUACCCACCCAGCACCGUGCAAUCCAACCACACACUGCACUGCACCCACCCAGCACUGUGCAAUGCAACCACACACUGCAGAGCACCCAUCCAGCACCGUGCAAUGCACCCACAUGCUGCACUGCACCCACCCAGCACCAUGCAAUGCAACCACACUCUGCAUUGUACCCACCCAGCACCGUGCAAUGCAACCACACACUGCAGAGCAUCCACCCAGCACCAUGCAAUGGAACCACACUCUGCAUUGCACCCACCCAGCACCGUGCAAUGCAACCACACUCAGCAUUGCACCAACAAAGCACCAUGCAAUGCAGCCACUCACAGCUCUGUGCAAUGCAACCACACUCUGCAUUGCACCCACCCAGCACCGUGCCAUGCAACCACACACUGCACAGCAUCCACCCAGCACCAUGCAAUGGAACCACACACUGCAGAGCUCCCACCCUCUGCAAUGCAGCGACACUCAGCACCGUGCAAUGCAGCCACACACUGCAUUGCACCCAUGCAGCACCGUGCAAUGCAACCACACACUGCAGAGCACCCACCCAGCACCGUGCAAUGCAGCCACACUCAGCACCGUGCAAUGCAACCACACAGAGCCCAGCACCCACCCAGCACCGUGCAAUGCACCCACACUCUGCAUUGCAGCCACCCAGCACGGUGCAAUGCAACCACACACUGCAGAGCUCUCACCCUCUGCAAUGCAGCCACACUCAGCACCGUGCAAUGCAGCUGCACACUGCAGUGCUCCCAUCCAGCACCGUG